This 254-nucleotide ribosomal RNA is filed under the name uncultured bacterium. Its description in RNAcentral is "partial 16S ribosomal RNA". It matches the Rfam family "Bacterial small subunit ribosomal RNA", at positions 524 to 776 of the family's 1533-position model. The record is from RNAcentral.
UACGAAGGGGGCUAGCGUUGCUCGGAAUCACUGGGCGUAAAGCGCACGUAGGCGGAUUGUUAAGUCAGGGGUGAAACUCCUGGAGCUCAACUCCAGAACUGUCCUUGAUACUGGCGAUCUCGAGUCCGGGAGAGGUGAGUGGAACUGCGAGUGUAGAGGUGAAAUUCGUAGAUAUUCGCAAGAACACCAGUGGCGAAGGCGGCUCACUGGCCCGGUACUGACGCUGAGGUGCGAAAGCGUGGGGAGCGAACAGG